UACAGAGGGGGCAAGCGUUGUUCGGAAUUACUGGGCGUAAAGGGCGCGUAGGCGGCGCGGUAAGUCACUUGUGAAAUCUCUGGGCUUAACUCAGAACGGCCAAGUGAAACUGUUGUGCUAGAGUGCAGAAGGGGCAAUCGGAAUUCUCGGUGUAGCGGUGAAAUGCGUAGAUAUCGAGAGGAACACCAGAGGUGAAGACGGGUUGCUGGGCUGACACUGACGCUGAGGCGCGAAAGCCAGGGGAGCAAACGGG
RNAcentral lists this ribosomal RNA (253 nucleotides) under uncultured bacterium. RNAcentral's name for it is "partial 16S ribosomal RNA". It matches the Rfam family "Bacterial small subunit ribosomal RNA", at positions 524 to 776 of the family's 1533-position model. The record is from RNAcentral.